RNAcentral lists this ribosomal RNA (382 nucleotides) under uncultured bacterium. Its description in RNAcentral is "partial 16S ribosomal RNA". It matches the Rfam family "Bacterial small subunit ribosomal RNA", at positions 355 to 730 of the family's 1533-position model. The record is from RNAcentral.
UGGGGAAUAUUGCACAAUGGGCGCAAGCCUGAUGCAGCCAUGCCGCGUGUGUGAAGAAGGCCUUCGGUUGUAAAGCACUUUCAGCGAGGAGGAAGGUGGUGGACUUAAUACGUUCAUCAAUUGACGUUACUCGCAGAAUAAGCACCGGCUAACUACGUGCCAGCAGCCGCGGUAAUACGUAGGGUGCAAGCGUUAAUCGGAAUUACUGGGCGUAAAGCGUGCGCAGGCGGUUUGCUAAGACCGAUGUGAAAUCCCCGGGCUCAACCUGGGAACUGCAUUGGUGACUGGCAGGCUAGAGUAUGGCAGAGGGGGGUAGAAUUCCACGUGUGAGCAGUGAAAUGCGUAGGGAUGUGGAGGAAUACCGAUGGCGAAGGAGCCCCCU